GGGGGUAUGCUUGAGUGGUCAAAAAGGGCAGACUGUAAAUCUGUUGGCAAUGCCUACGGUGGUUCGAAUCCAUCUGCCCCCA
This 82-nucleotide transfer RNA is filed under the name Candidatus Poribacteria bacterium. Its description in RNAcentral is "tRNA-Tyr". It matches the Rfam family "tRNA". Rfam says of the family: Transfer RNA (tRNA) molecules are approximately 80 nucleotides in length. Their secondary structure includes four short double-helical elements and three loops (D, anti-codon, and T loops). Further hydrogen bonds mediate the characteristic L-shaped molecular structure. tRNAs have two regions of fundamental functional importance: the anti-codon, which is responsible for specific mRNA codon recognition, and the 3' end, to which the tRNAs corresponding amino acid is attached (by aminoacyl-tRNA synthetases). tRNAs cope with the degeneracy of the genetic code in two manners: having more than one tRNA (with a specific anti-codon) for a particular amino acid; and 'wobble' base-pairing, i.e. permitting non-standard base-pairing at the 3rd anti-codon position. The record is from RNAcentral. Lineage: Bacteria; Candidatus Poribacteria.